AACGGGUGAGUAACGGGUGGGACAUGCCUUUCAGAAAGGAAUAACUUCAAGAAAUUGAUUGUAAUACCUUAUAAUGUAGAGAUACCAAAGGGAGAAAUCUCGCUGAAAGAUUGGCCUAUUUUGAUGAGUUGUUGGUAGGGUAAUGGCCUACCAAGCUAAGAGUCAUAACCGGUCUGAGAGGACGAUCGGUCACACUGGAACUGAGACACGGUCCAGACUCCUACGGGAGGCAGCAGUGAGGAAUAUUGGACAAUGGGGGAAACCCUGAUCCAGGGAUACCGCGUGGGUGAUAUAUAUAAAGCCCUUUUAGUAGAGAAGAAAAUCGUAAGAUUAGACGUUAUCUACAGAAAAAGCACCGGCUAACUCUGUGCCAGCAGCCGCGGUAAGACAGAGGGUGCAAGCGUUAUUCGGAAUUAUUGGGUGUAAAGGGUGCGUAGGUGGUACUAUAAGUCAAUAACGAAAUACCGGAGCUCAACUUCGGUGCUGUUAUAGAUACUGUAGAACUUGAGAAUGGGGGAAGUAAAUGGAAUUUCUAGUGAAGAGGUAAAAUUCGUAGAUAUUAGAAGGAACACCAGAGGCGAAGGCGAUUUACUAAAACAUAUCUGACACUGAGGCACGAAAGCGUGGGGAUCAAACGGGAUUAGAUACCCCGGUAGUCCACGCCCUAAAAGAUGAGGACUAGAUGUUGGAGUUUUCCAGUAUCGUAGCUAACGCGUUAAGUUCUCCACCUGGGUAGUAUAGUCGCAAGACCGAAACCCAAAGGAAUUGACGGGGACCCGCACAAGCGGUGGAACAUGUGGUUUAAUUCGAUAGUACGCGAUAAACCUUACCAACCCUUGACAUAUGAGGCGCCGGUUUAAGAAAUUAGACCUUCAUUUAGUUGGCCUCAAUACAGGUGCUGCACGGCCGUCGUCAGCUCGUGUCGUGAGAUGUAUGGUUAAGUCCAUAAACGAGCGUAACCCC
This 963-nucleotide ribosomal RNA is filed under the name uncultured bacterium. Its description in RNAcentral is "bacterial SSU rRNA". It matches the Rfam family "Bacterial small subunit ribosomal RNA", at positions 101 to 1105 of the family's 1533-position model. The record is from RNAcentral.